UGGGGAAUAUUGCGCAAUGGGCGAAAGCCUGACGCAGCAACGCCGCGUGAGUGAGGAAGGCCUUCGGGUUGUAAAGCUCUGUCAAUGUAGAAAAACAGCUUAUCAUCUAAUAGGUGUUAAGUUUGAUGGUAUACAUAAAGGAAGCACCGGCUAACUUCGUGCCAGCAGCCGCGGUAAUACGAAGGGUGCAAGCGUUGUUCGGAUUUAUUGGGCGUAAAGCGGGUGCAGGCUGAUAAGUAAGUCAGAUGUGAAAUCUCGGGGCUUAACCCCGAAACUGCGUCUGAAACUACUUGUCUAGAAUCUCAAAGAGGGAAGCGGAAUUUCACAUGUAGGAGUAAAAUCCGUAGAGAUGUGAAGGAACACCAGAGGCGAAGGCGGCUUCCUGGUUGAGAAUUGACGCUGUAGCCGAAAGCGUGGGGAGCAAACAGG
Molecule: ribosomal RNA, 429 nt
Filed under: uncultured bacterium
Lineage: Bacteria
Description: bacterial SSU rRNA
Rfam family: Bacterial small subunit ribosomal RNA
Source: RNAcentral